RNAcentral lists this long non-coding RNA (510 nucleotides) under Phoenix dactylifera (date palm). Its description in RNAcentral is "long non-coding RNA (PDAC_LNC022898)". The record is from RNAcentral. Lineage: Eukaryota; Viridiplantae; Streptophyta; Magnoliopsida; Arecales; Arecaceae.
ACAUCACUUUUUUGUGUACGUAUAUGUUUAGUAUUUACUCUAUGCUGUAGUUUGUGACUAUAUAUACCCUAAAAAUAUACUUUUGAUUAAUCCUCCAUUUCUUGUUGACAGGUAUUUACAAAAUGGUUCACUGCUUUAUUAACAAAGCUCUGUGGUGCUAACUUGUGAGGCAAAUAUAUGUAUGUAUGUAUGUAUUGGGAAGUAAGGUAGAAGCACAGCAGAAAUCUGGAAUGGGGGCAGGAUCGAACCUAGGUCUCUUGUAUCAGUACACGAGACUUUGCCAACAUUACUAGUUGGCACACUCUACUAAUUUUAGUAUAUUUAGAUAUCUAGCUUUGAUGAUUGCAUUCUUUCAGUGCUUUUAUUGUUAUACCUGAUUACCUUAUUUGGACUCAUAUCAUGACACACCCAAUGGUAUGUAUUAAUUUUCUGUCAAUAAAUUAAUUAAAGUUAAGCUUGAAUAACCUAAAAUGCUCGAUAAGUGGAAAAGUUUGCAACCAUAUUGAUGCU